GCUCCCUCCCUAGAUCUUCCAUCCAGGAUAGUCCUGGAAAUGAUCUUGAUGCUAUCUGUUCCUCGUUACAGCAGACCUGCUCAACUUCAGCAGCUAGAAGGAGGAUUGUCUUUCACCAGCUGCAGGAGCCUGUUCCCACUACAAGCCUGGUGGAGUCUUCGGAGCAGAUGUGACUGUCCUACUUGUAUAGAGAAGAGAAACUGAGGCUCAGAAGAGAUGCCUGGCUGAGUUUAAUAGGACUGCAACAACAAUUUUGCCUUUCUACUUUCUGACCGUUUGCAAAGAAAUUUCCUAAACAUCACCACUGAGGCUCCUUCCAGCAAUGACUCUGGUCCAUCAUUGGGAUUGCUGAGCAGCUGUUUCAUAACAUGAACAAGGAUGUUUUAACCAUGUUUCUUGACCUGGCCAUUUGGAUCCCAAGGAUGUUUUGGUCCAAGAAUAAAUUCCAGAGCUUAGCUCACCGAAGAAGACAGGAAAACUUGUCAGAUGGGGAAGGAUGUGUCAAGAGCAUGCACACAGAUUUACUCUUCAGCUAGAAGCUCCAAUUCCUAGAUGAUCUGAAUCCAACUCAGAGUGCUUGCACCUGUUUCCUGCCACACAGCUAGAGCUGUCCAGUGAGAGAGACAUGAUGGCCCAGCUUGAAAAAGAAAUUGAGGAUAGCAAGUGUAACAUACCAAGCAUUCCACGAGCAGUGUCCCUCUAGGUUCUCUGAUUGGCUGAAGCUACUCUAAGCCAAGAGAUCAAAGAAGCUGAUAAUGUAGAAUGUAAGUUUGUCUCCUGGGCCACAAUGGAAAGCAGAGACUGUAGCUGGAGGAGUGAAUAGAGGAUAUGCAGCUCUGGUAAUUCUCAGUACAAUUCCCAGUGGUCCACUCUGCAGAAUGAACCAAGUUCCAUUUUGCCCAACUUCUGGCAGUCCACAUUUGGACUGUGAGCUCACCUACAGAUAAAUCGUACGUGGAUUGAUGCAGUAACUGGAUUUGUAGCUGCUAAAUCUUAUUUAAGUGAGGACCUGUCCAGUACAUGUGAAGACCACCCAUCCACUGAAAGUGAUAAGUGAAGCUGAAUCAAUACUAGACUGAAUCAAUACUGAGCUGAAUCAAUACUUUCCCAAUUUUGAGGAAAUCUUGGAAAAUCUCUGAGAAAUGUGGUAGUAAUUAUUUUGAAGAAUUGGAAAACUUUAUAGCUGAUUAUGCUAUGUGUGGAAGAUACAACAGGAUUAUAAGAGAGAGAAGACAAUAUCCUUGCUGUGUCCAGAAGGCUUUAGCCGGGGUGUCCUACUGAGAGAUGACAAACUUAAGGUUUUUCUCUUCCCAGACAUUACUGGACAACUAGCUAUGUAAUUAGGUCUUAUGCCGAAAAGACUGAAAGGAAAACAUCUCAGAUCUAGGAAUGUGAUCAAGAAAGAAGGCUGGUUAAAGAAUAACAUGGGGAAAAUGAAUGCAGUGAAAUGGUUCACGCACAAGUUCUAGGAAUUCAGAGUGCAACAGCAGAAAUGCGAUUUUUGUUAGAUAUUUCAGAAAGUGAUGUGAGUCCCUGAGGUCAUACUGCAGCGUUCAGGUUCUGUUUGGCCUCCUGCACGAAGCUUUCCUUGAUUGGAAAAGCUGCAUACUCUGAAGCACAUCGCAUGUGUCCUGUCUGUAGUUCAUUUCAUUUCCCCAGAUUUGUUAUCAUCCACCAUCACUCAUACAAGCCUACCUUCUUCAUGCCAACCUUUGUAAUCUUUCUACCUUGCUAACCUGGUCAUGUCAAGGACCAGCUAAUAAAUAGCAAAGUUGUACCUUGAGCCAAGGUAUCUUGACUCUUAGUCCAGUGCUCUUUAUAUACCUCUGAAGUCUUAUUUGAGCUUCAAAAUUAUGAGUCUGUGCUCUCAAGAUUUUUUUGAAAAUGUACUUAAUGUUGCCCCUAAGCUUUUAUGAGAAAUAAUAAAGUUCUUUCCAGA
This 1939-nucleotide long non-coding RNA is filed under the name Homo sapiens (human). RNAcentral's name for it is "non-protein coding lnc-NTSR2-5:3". The record is from RNAcentral. Lineage: Eukaryota; Metazoa; Chordata; Mammalia; Primates; Hominidae.